CGCGCAGGCGGCUCGUUAAGUCCAAGGUGAAAUCCCACGGCUCAACUGUGGGGGGACCCUGGAUACUGGCGGGCUGGAGUGCGGGAGAGGGAAGCGGAAUUCCACGUGUAACGGUGAAAUGUAUAGAUAUGUGGAGGAACACCGGUGGCGAAGGCGGCUUCCUGGACCGUAACUGACGCUGAGGCGCGAAAGCUGGGGGGAGCGAACA
RNAcentral lists this ribosomal RNA (208 nucleotides) under uncultured bacterium. RNAcentral's name for it is "partial 16S ribosomal RNA". It matches the Rfam family "Bacterial small subunit ribosomal RNA", at positions 568 to 774 of the family's 1533-position model. The record is from RNAcentral.